UACGGGAGGCAGCAGUGAGGAAUAUUGGUCAAUGGGCGCAAGCCUGAACCAGCCAUNCCGCGUGAAGGAAUAAGGCCCUAUGGGUCGUAAACUUNUUUUGUGGUGGAGCAAUAAGGUGUACGCGUACACCGAUGAGAGUACAUCACGAAUAAGCAUCGGCUAACUCCGUGCCAGCAGCCGCGGUAAU
Molecule: ribosomal RNA, 187 nt
Filed under: uncultured rumen bacterium
Lineage: Bacteria
Description: partial 16S ribosomal RNA
Rfam family: Bacterial small subunit ribosomal RNA
Source: RNAcentral